GUGUGUACCUGCCUGUCAGUGUGUGUGUCAGGUAUCAGGAGGGACAGGCUUUCUGUUUCCUUGUGAUAGAACCUGAUCUUGUAACCCAGUCCAGACGUUGUCCUAACGACACUGUAAUACCAUGACCCCAGACACCCCAGGUCCCAUGGGCGGCUCGCUGGCAGAGAAAAAAAUGGUCUCUGUCGCUCUAGUCUGGUCUGGACAGAGCUGCUCCUCUGCUACACAUUGGCCUGGUAGUGGAGGAGGAGGAAGCUUUGCUGGUUCCCAAGAGAAAGUGACCUUCAUGGCCUAGAAAUCAAAAUAACCACGUCGGUGGCCAUCUUAGCCUUCACUGCAGCUGGCACGGAACACAACAAUGAACCAAUCCAUCAUGGGAUAGAGUCCUGCUGGUACAGCUCAGGGACGAAAGUAUCCAACUAUCCUACCUUAUAUCCUGGCCUAUGUCCUCCUGGUUUUGACCCUUUCCUGUUUCUGGACUCUGUACCCGCCUGCCUGACCAUUCUACCUGCCUUGACCACGAGCCUGUCUGCCACGCUGUACCUCCUGGACUCUGAUCUGGUUCUCACCUUUUGCCUGUCCAUGACCGUUCUCUUGCC
Molecule: long non-coding RNA, 596 nt
Filed under: Salmo salar (Atlantic salmon)
Lineage: Eukaryota; Metazoa; Chordata; Actinopteri; Salmoniformes; Salmonidae
Description: lncRNA (ENSSSAG00000094602.1, ENSSSAG00000100876.1)
Source: RNAcentral